GACGAACGCUGGCGGCGUGCUUAACACAUGCAAGUCGAACGGAAAGGCCCUGCUUUUGUGGGGUGCUCGAGUGGCGAACGGGUGAGUAACACGUGAGUAACCUGCCCUUGACUUUGGGAUAACUUCAGGAAACUGGGGCUAAUACCGGAUAGGAGCUCCUGCUGCAUGGGGGGGGUUGGAAAGUUUCGGCGGUUGGGGAUGGACUCGCGGCUUAUCAGCUUGUUGGUGGGGUAGUGGCUUACCAAGGCUUUGACGGGUAGCCGGCCUGAGAGGGUGACCGGCCACAUUGGGACUGCGGUACGGCCCAGACUCCUACGGUAGGCAGCGGUGGGGAACAUUGCACAAUGGGCGGACGCCUGAUGUAGCAACGCCGCGUGCGGGAUGACGGCCUUCGGGUUGUAAACCGCUUUCGCCUGUGACGAAGCGUGAGUGACGGUAAUGGGUAAAGAAGCACCGGCUAACUACGUG
RNAcentral lists this ribosomal RNA (468 nucleotides) under uncultured bacterium. Its description in RNAcentral is "partial 16S ribosomal RNA". It matches the Rfam family "Bacterial small subunit ribosomal RNA", at positions 28 to 507 of the family's 1533-position model. The record is from RNAcentral.